This 506-nucleotide ribosomal RNA is filed under the name uncultured bacterium. Its description in RNAcentral is "partial 16S ribosomal RNA". It matches the Rfam family "Bacterial small subunit ribosomal RNA", at positions 30 to 523 of the family's 1533-position model. The record is from RNAcentral.
AUUGAACGCUGGCGGCAGGCCUAACACAUGCAAGUCGAACGGUAACAGAGAGUAGCUUGCUACUUUGCUGACGAGUGGCGGACGGGUGAGUAAUGUCUGGGGAUCUGCCUGAUGGAGGGGGAUAACUACUGGAAACGGUAGCUAAUACCGCAUAAUGUCGCAAGACCAAAGCGGGGGACUUUCGGGCCUCGCACCAUCAGAUGAACCCAGAUGGGAUUAGCUAGUAGGUAGGGUAAUGGCUUACCUAGGCGACGAUCCCUAGCUGGUCUGAGAGGAUGACCAGCCACACUGGAACUGAGACACGGUCCAGACUCCUACGGGAGGCAGCAGUGGGGAAUAUUGCACAAUGGGCGCAAGCCUGAUGCAGCCAUGCCGCGUGUAUGAAGAAGGCCUUCGGGUUGUAAAGUACUUUCAGUCAGGAGGAAGGGUGUGAAAUUAAUACUUUCAUGCAUUGACGUUACUGACAGAAGAAGCACCGGCUAACUCCGUGCCAGCAGCCGCCGUAA